RNAcentral lists this long non-coding RNA (1932 nucleotides) under Strigops habroptila (Kakapo). RNAcentral describes it as "lncRNA (ENSSHBG00005015511.1)". Lineage: Eukaryota; Metazoa; Chordata; Aves; Psittaciformes; Psittacidae. The record is from RNAcentral.
UUAAAAAAACCCACUUUUGCCUUUAUUUAGUGCCUGGAAAAGAGCAACAGCGACCGGCAAAGGGACCCCAAUGGGACCCCAAUGGGGGGGGGCCCUAAAGGGGGGGUCCCAAGAGACAGGGGGGACCCCAACACAAAGGGGGGACCCCCAUUGCCGCCGAUAAAUAGAGCUAAACAAUAAAAAAGGGGGGUUUUGGGGUCCAAAAGGGGGGUUUUGGGGUCCCCCCCAUUGAUUAUGGGGGGUCUUCAAUGGGGUUUGGGGGCCCCACGAUGGGUUUUGGGGUCCCAAAGGGGGGUUUGGGGGUUCUUCAAUGGGUUUUGGGGUCCCCAAGGGGAGGGAAUUGAGGUUCCUCAAUGGGAUUUGGGGUCCCCCCCAUUGAUUUUAGGGUCCCAGAUGGUGUUUGGGGGCUCCCUCAAUGGGUUUUGGGGUCUCCUCCAUUGACUUUAUGGUUCCUCAAUGGGUUUUGGGGUCCCCCCCAUUGAUUUUAGGGCCUUAGAUGGUGUUUGGGGGCUCCCUCAAUGGGUUUUGGGGUCCCUCAGAUGCAUUUUGGGGUCCCAAGGGGGGAAUUAAGGUCCCCAAAGGGGGUUUUGGGGUCCCCUCAAUGGGUUUUGGGGUUCCCCUCAAUGGGUCCCCCUCAGAAAUCAGCAAAUUUUGAGGAAAACCACCAAAAGUUUUGUGUGAAACCUCCAAAUUUUGCGGGAAACCCCAAAUUCUGAGGGAAAAAACCCAAAUUUGGAGGAAACCCUCCGAGAUUUUGACAGAAAACCCCAAAAUUUUGAGGGAAAACACAGAAUUUGGUUGGAAAACCCCAAAUUUUAAGGAAAACCCCAAAUUCUGAGGAAAACAAACCCAAAUUUUGAGGAAAACCCCCAAGAUUUUUACGGAAACCCCCAAAUUUUGAUGAAACCCCCCCAAUUCUGAAGAAAAAAACCCAAAUUUUGAGGAAAACUCCCCAAAUUCUGAGUGAAAACUCCAAAUUUUGAGGAAAAAAACCCAUUAUUUUGAUGGGAACCCCCAAAUUUUGUGGAAAACCCCCAAAUUUUGCAGUAAAACCCCAAAAUUUGAUGAAACAAAAUCAAAAUAUCAAGGAAAACCCCCAAAAUUUUAAGGAAAACCCCAAAUUUUUAGGAAAAACUCCAAGAUUUUAAGGAAAAAACCCAAAUUCUGAGGGGAAAACACAGAAAUUUGCUUGGAAAACCCCAAAUUUCGAGGAAAAUCUCCAAGAUUUUAAGGAAAAAACCUCAAAUUUUGAGGGGAAAACCCAGAAAUUUGGUUGGGAAACCCCCAAAUUUUGAGGAAAACCUCCAAAACUUGAUGAAAAACCCCCAAAAUCUCAAGGAAAACCCCCAAAACUUUGAGGAAACCCCUAAAUUCUGAGGAAAACCUCCAAGAUUUUUAGGAAAAACACCAAAUUUUGAGGGGAAACCCCAGAAAUUCGGCUGGGAAAACGACCAAAUUUUGAGGAAACCCCCAAAUUCUGAGGAAAAACUCCAAGAUUUUAAGGAAAACCCCCAAAUUCUGAGAGGAAAACCCAGAAAUUUGGUUGGGAGAAGCCAAAUUUUGAGGAAACCCCCCAAAAUUUGAUGAAAAACCCCCAAAUUUUUAGGAAAAACUCCAAGAUUUUAAGGAAAACCCCAAAAUUCUGAGGGGAAACCCCAGAAAUUUGGUUGGGAAACACCCAAAUUUUGAGGAAACCCCCCAAAAUUCGAUGAAAACCCCCCAAAAUUUCGAGGAAAACCCCCAAAAUUUUGAGGAAAACCCCCAAAAUUUUGAGGAAACCCCCAAAAUUUCGCCCCCUUUCCCACGGGGGGACCCCAAGGUGUCCCCAAUGGGCCCCAACCCCAUCUCCUGGUGGCUUCGGGGGGCUCCUUCACUUCCUCUUCUUCUUGGGGGGCCCCGCGGUGCGAUGGUGGCCGCGGCGCCCGGCCGGGG